AAGUUUUAAAUGGCCGCAGUAUUUUGACUGUGUAAAGGUAGCAUAAUCAUUAGUUUCUUAAUUAGAAGCUUGUAUGAAAGGUUGGAUGAGAAAAUUACUGUCUCUAUUUAAAUUAAUUAGAAUUUUAUAUUUAAGUAAAAAAGCUUAAAUAUACAUAGAAGACGAGAAGACCCUAUAGAGUUUUAUAUUAUUAUUAUUUAUAUUUUUUAGUAUUAUAAUUAUAUAUAUAUAAUUAAUUAUUUGAUUGGGGUGAUUAAAAAAUUUAUUAAACUUUUUUUUUAUUAUUUCAUUAAUUUAUGAAUUAUUGAUCCUUAAUUUAAGAUUAAAAGAAUAAAUUACCUUAGGGAUAACAGCGUAAUUUUUUUUAAGAGUUCUAAUCAAAAAAAAAGUUUGC
Molecule: ribosomal RNA, 394 nt
Filed under: Smicronyx sordidus (grey sunflower seed weevil)
Lineage: Eukaryota; Metazoa; Arthropoda; Insecta; Coleoptera; Curculionidae
Description: partial 16S ribosomal RNA
Source: RNAcentral